CCAGCCUGCGGCUCUACCUAACCCAUCUGCAGUCCUGGGAGGAUUCCCAGUCUUGCCUACCCGGCUACAGCCCUCUCACUGGGUCCACAACACGCUCACAACUCUCCGGCCAAUCCAACCAUCGCCCCAACCCUCCCUUCCUGGCCGGGUGCCCCAGCGUCCACAACCCCCUCCCACCCCUAGAGAACCGCGCGCUGCGCCUGGUGGACGGUGGCGGCGCCUGCGCCGGCCGCGUGGAGAUGCUGGAGCAUGGCGAGUGGGGAUCGGUGUGCGAUGACACUUGGGACCUAGAGGACGCCCACGUGGUGUGCAGGCAACUGGGCUGCGGCUGGGCAGUCCAGGCCCUGCCCGGCUUGCACUUCAUGCCCGGCCGCGGGCCUAUCCACCGGGACCAGGUGAACUGCUCCGGGGCCGAAGCUUACCUGUGGGACUGCCCGGGGCUGCCAGGACAGCACUACUGCGGCCACAAAGAGGACGCGGGCGUGGUGUGCUCAGAGCACCAGUCCUGGCGCCUGACCGGGGGCGCUGACCGCUGCGAGGGGCAGGUGGAGGUACACUUU
This 560-nucleotide small RNA is filed under the name Pongo abelii (Sumatran orangutan). Its description in RNAcentral is "retained intron". The record is from RNAcentral. Lineage: Eukaryota; Metazoa; Chordata; Mammalia; Primates; Hominidae.